GGUUCGCCCAUUGGUCAGGCUUAAUUGUUUGUACUGGUGAGAUGAAUCUCUACCUUCUGAGGAACUUUCAUGCCAUUUAUUUGGUGUGAUUGGAAAUCAGGACUGUUACUUUGAAAAAUUAGAGUGUUUAAAGCAGGCUAACGUCUGAAUACAUUAGCAUGGAAUAAUGAAAUAGGACGGACUGAUUCUAUUUCGUUGGUUUCUAGGAUCACCGUAAUGAUUAAUAGGGAUAGUUGGG
Molecule: ribosomal RNA, 238 nt
Filed under: uncultured Diversispora
Lineage: Eukaryota; Fungi; Glomeromycota; Glomeromycetes; Diversisporales; Diversisporaceae
Description: partial 18S ribosomal RNA
Rfam family: Eukaryotic small subunit ribosomal RNA (bases 47-238)
Source: RNAcentral